UCGAGAAUCUUCCGCAAUGGACGAAAGUCUGACGGAGCGACGCCGCGUGAUGGAUGAAGUCCCUCUGGGACGUAAACAUCUUUUAUGAGGGAGAAAGUUUAUUGAUAGUACCUCACGAAUAAGGGGUUGCUAAACUCGUGCCAGCAGCAGCGGUAAUACGAGUGCCCCGAGCGUUAUCCGGAAUCAUUGGGCGUAAAGGGUGUGUAGGUGGCAUUGUUAGUCACACGUUAAACCCUGGGGCUUAACCCCAGAUCUGCGUGUGAUACGGCAAAGCUAGAGGAUGGCAGGGAUGUAUGGAACUCAUGGAGUAGGGGUGAAAUCCGUUGAUAUCAUGGGGAACACCGAAAGCGAAGGCAGUACAUUGGGCCACUCCUGACACUGAAACACGAAAGCGUGGGUAGCGAAUGGGAUUAGAUACCCCAGUAGUCCCUGAGCGGGCUGGCAAGGCGCAU
This 452-nucleotide ribosomal RNA is filed under the name uncultured bacterium. Its description in RNAcentral is "bacterial SSU rRNA". It matches the Rfam family "Bacterial small subunit ribosomal RNA", at positions 355 to 825 of the family's 1533-position model. The record is from RNAcentral.